AGCGGCUUAGCUCAAUGGAUAGAGCCCGGCUUGACUAGUACAUCUGAGAUUGGCAUCACAGAUGAUACGGGCCGGAGGUUGCGGGUUCAAAUCCCGCAGCCGCUUCCA
RNAcentral lists this transfer RNA (108 nucleotides) under bacterium. RNAcentral describes it as "tRNA-OTHER". It matches the Rfam family "tRNA". Rfam says of the family: Transfer RNA (tRNA) molecules are approximately 80 nucleotides in length. Their secondary structure includes four short double-helical elements and three loops (D, anti-codon, and T loops). The record is from RNAcentral.